CGGAGGGAGCUAGCGUUGUUCGGAAUUACUGGGCGUAAAGCGCACGUAGGCGGCGAUUCAAGUCAGAGGUGAAAGCCCGGGGCUCAACCCCGGAACUGCCUUUGAAACUAGAUUGCUAGAAUCCUGGAGAGGUGAGUGGAAUUCCGAGUGUAGAGGUGAAAUUCGUAGAUAUUCGGAAGAACACCAGUGGCGAAGGCGACUCACUGGACAGGUAUUGACGCUGAGGUGCGAAAGCGUGGGGAGCAAACAGGAUU
RNAcentral lists this ribosomal RNA (254 nucleotides) under uncultured bacterium. RNAcentral's name for it is "partial 16S ribosomal RNA". It matches the Rfam family "Bacterial small subunit ribosomal RNA", at positions 526 to 779 of the family's 1533-position model. The record is from RNAcentral.